Molecule: small RNA, 754 nt
Filed under: Pan troglodytes (chimpanzee)
Lineage: Eukaryota; Metazoa; Chordata; Mammalia; Primates; Hominidae
Description: processed transcript
Source: RNAcentral
GGCACCGGAAGUGACCCUGGCGGGUUUGUCUUCAAAUUCUCGGCGAGCAGGAGCCGCGCCGGCAGGUGGUGUUGACGAUUGAACUGGGCAGUACUGGGGCCGUGAGCGGAGAGCAAAGUGGGCUGGACUGGGUCAGGCCCUCCUUCCUCGCUGCCGGGACCUCCACUCGGCCAAUCCCCUGUGCCUGGCGUUGGGCGGUUUCCCGAGAAGCUUGGGCCGCCGCAGACCCUCACCAGGACCUAGAAAACGCCAAUCUUCUCAGUACAGUGACCCUAAAUCACAUGGUAAUCGUCCAAGUACAACUGUCAGAGUUCACCGUUCAUCUGCACAGAAUGUUCACAAUGACAGAGGGAAAGCUGUUCGUUGUCGUGAAAAGAAAGAACAGAAUAAAGGAAGAGAGGAAAAGGGAUGAUAUCGCUGAUUUAGUAGAAGCUAAAAAGUUGCUUAAGGAAGCUGUAGUGUUACCAAUGUGGAUGCCCGAAUUCUUUAAGGGCAUUAGGAGACCAUGGAAAGGAGUACUGAUGGUCGGCCCACCUGGCACAGGGAAGACGCUCCUUGCUAAAGCAGUAGCUACAGAAUGCAAGACAACAUUCUUCAAUGUCUCUUCAUCAACUUUGACUUCCAAAUACAGAGGAGAAUCUGAGAAGCUUGUUCGUCUUCUGUUUGAAAUGGCUCGAUUUUAUUCUCCAGCCACCAUAUUUAUUGAUGAGAUAGACUCCAUCUGUAGUCGCCGAGGGACUUCUGAAGAACAUGA